Molecule: non-coding RNA, 555 nt
Organism: Tupaia belangeri chinensis (Chinese tree shrew)
Lineage: Eukaryota; Metazoa; Chordata; Mammalia; Scandentia; Tupaiidae
Source: the annotation of a RefSeq genome assembly
GCCCAGCCAUGUGGGGACCCAGGGGUUGUGUCCACCAUGGCUUGGACUUCUCUCCUCCUCAUGCUCCUCUCUCACUAUGCAGGUUCCCUGUCCCAGCCUGUGCUGACCCAGCCGUCCUCCCUCUCUGUACCUCCUGGAGCAUCUGCCAAACUCACCUGCACCCUGAGCAGUGACGUCAGUGUCAGUGACUUUCACUUACGCUGGUUCCAGCAGAAGUCAGGGAGCCCUCCCCGCUAUCUCCUGCGGUACAAGUCAGACUCAGACAAGUACCAGGGCUCCGGGGUCCCCAGCCGCUUCUCUGGAUCCAAGGACCCCUCGGCCAAUGCAGGAGUUCUGCACAUCUCUGGGCUGCAGCCUGCCCUGUCUGCUCUGGUGUGGGCCCACAUCCUGCUCACAGGUGUGGAGGAUGAGACUCUGCCCAGCAGCUGCUUCCCCCUGCCAAGCUCUGCCUUCAGCUGGACUGACAGUGCAGCAGAGAUCACCACCAGGGGGAGUAAACCUGCGUGGACGCCCCACCCCUUCCUGCCAGUGGGGAAGAUAAGAGGCCUGGGGUAG